GGGCUUGUAUCCCUACGCGAUGUAGGAAUUGGACGUACUACUAUUCCUCCUACUCAGUUACUUGGAUUUGGAGUUAGAUUGAAGUGGUGAGAUUCCAUACUCCGAAAGACUCCAUUUCAUGCUAUGGGCUUCUUUUCAUUAUUUUUGUUUCUUGGAUUUUGAAUUUUACUAUGGUCAGGAGCAUAUCCCGACCGAAUGUUAAUUGAUUCUGGUUAGAUGCUUUUUUCGACUACUAUGGGCAUGGGUGGUGUCGGUAUUGGUGUCAGUCUUGGUAUUUGUAUUGUCAUUAGGGUUGGCAUCAGUUAGACAUUUGGUUGAGAUUGUUGGAUUAUGAUUAUAGACUUUAUUUAAUGUCUUUGAGUUAUUAUUGUUUUAUCUUGUUAUAUGUUCAAAAUUCAUCCGACAUAGGGUGUAGAACGGUUACGGUUGGGUAUCGGGGGUGGCAUCCAUUCCUGGUUGGACUUGAGAUGCAUUAAACAGCUAGGCCUUGGUUCGAGUUAUUUCAAAUGCGUACUGAGUACCCAUUGUUUUGGUACUUAUACUGCACUUUUGUACCUUUUGUUGCAGACCUGAGUACUAGUUGCCACUACUGAGUUAAGAUAGUGUAGUGUUGAUCUUCUAGAGACAAGGUGAGCUCUUUGAGUUUCCAGUCCCCUGUUUCCCUCAUUUCUUUAUUUAGCCUUUUGUAUUCAAGAUAAAUGUAUAGACUAUUUAAGAUUUUGGAUUGUAUUUCCUGUUAUUAUACUUAUAUGCUCUUGUACUGAUAUUACUAGGUCGUGGGAUUGUAUUCGUAUUUUGAUUUUCUUAUUAAGUGGG
RNAcentral lists this long non-coding RNA (816 nucleotides) under Capsicum annuum. RNAcentral describes it as "long non-coding RNA (CANN_LNC017299)". The record is from RNAcentral. Lineage: Eukaryota; Viridiplantae; Streptophyta; Magnoliopsida; Solanales; Solanaceae.